This 254-nucleotide ribosomal RNA is filed under the name uncultured bacterium. RNAcentral describes it as "partial 16S ribosomal RNA". It matches the Rfam family "Bacterial small subunit ribosomal RNA", at positions 524 to 776 of the family's 1533-position model. The record is from RNAcentral.
UACGUAGGGGGCGAGCGUUGUCCGGAUUUAUUGGGCGUAAAGAGCUCGUAGGCGGCUUAGCAAGUCGGGUGUGAAAACUCCAGGCUCAACCUGGAGACGCCACUCGAGACUGCUAUGGCUAGAGUCCGGUAGGGGACCACGGAAUUCCUGGUGUAGCGGUGAAAUGCGCAGAUAUCAGGAGGAACACCGGUGGCGAAGGCGGUGGUCUGGGCCGGCACUAACGCUGAGGAGCGAAAGCGUGGGGAGCAAACAGG